This is a long non-coding RNA of Camponotus floridanus (Florida carpenter ant), 439 nucleotides long. RefSeq lists it as uncharacterized. The transcript has 3 exons. The record is from RefSeq and is a predicted model, not a curated record. NCBI's taxonomy places the organism in Eukaryota, Metazoa, Arthropoda, Insecta, Hymenoptera, Formicidae.
GCGUAACUUCCGCCAAUUUCGCCGAGAUAGCUUCCACAGCUGUCAGAUUACUGCCGAGAAUCGAGGUGUCCUCGGCAUCGGACAUCCUAAGAGAGAUGGAUAUUUAUUAGUCGAAUCGAUAUUCUAUAAAUAGACAUGUUUUUCCUGGACCUCUAAAAAAAUCCCAGAAGGUUUCUAGAUAUCUGCCUGUCAAUUGGCAAUAUACGAGCCACAUGACUAUGUGUCAUGACUAUGGAUUAAAGCAACAGGAGAAUAAGGAAGAUUAACGAAAAUAAAAAUUACAGGAGCUAUCUCGACGAGAGCCAACCAUGGACUGACACACCGUCUCUGUUAAACACGUAGGCGUUCGAGCAAACGUAUUACCGGUCUCACUAGUUCUACUUAUUUUUUUUAUCCCAGUUAUAGUUAAAAAAAUAAAUAAAUGCAAAAAAAGUUUAAC